RNAcentral lists this ribosomal RNA (1349 nucleotides) under metagenome. RNAcentral's name for it is "bacterial LSU rRNA". It matches the Rfam family "Bacterial large subunit ribosomal RNA", at positions 1564 to 2925 of the family's 2925-position model. The record is from RNAcentral.
UGAGUGCGAGCGGCUACGGCCGCGAAGUGGGUGAUGUCAAGCUUCCAAGAAAAGCCCUAUACCCGUUAAGGCAUGAUGGCCUGUACCCGAAACCGACACAGGUGGGGUGGUAGAGAAUACCGAGGGGCGCGAGGUAACUCUCUCUAAGGAACUCGGCAAAAUGGCCCCGUAACUUCGGGAGAAGGGGUGCCACCGCAAGGUGGUCGCAGUGAAGAGGCCCAGGCGACUGUUUACCAAAAACACAGGUCUCCGCUAAGUCGCAAGACGAUGUAUGGGGGCUGACGCCUGCCCAGUGCCGGAAGGUUAAGGAAGCUGGUCAGCGCAAGCGAAGCUGGCGACUGAAGCCCCGGUGAACGGCGGCCGUAACUAUAACGGUCCUAAGGUAGCGAAAUUCCUUGUCGGGUAAGUUCCGACCCGCACGAAAGGCGUAACGAUCUGGGCGCUGUCUCGGAGAGAGGCUCGGCGAAAUAGAAUUGUCUGUGAAGAUGCGGACUACGUGCACCCGGACAGAAAGACCCUAUGAAGCUUUACUGUAGCUUGGUAUUGUGCCCGGGCUCUGAAUGCGCAGGAUAGGUGGGAGGCUUUGAUCCAUGGCUUGCGGGUCAUGGUGAGCCAACGGUGAGAUACCACUCUUUCAGAGCUAGGGUUCUAACGGUCACCCGUCAUCCGGGGACCGGACAGUAUCAGGUGGGCAGUUUGACUGGGGCGGUCGCCUCCUAAAAGGUAACGGAGGCGCGCAAAGGUUUGCUCAGGCUGGUUGGAAAUCAGCCGACGAGUGCAAAAGCAGAAGCAAGCUUGACUGUGAGACCUACAAGUCGAACAGGGACGAAAGUCGGCUUUAGUGAUCCGACGGUUCUGAGUGGAAGGGCCGUCGCUCAACGGAUAAAAGUUACUCUAGGAUAACAGGCUGAUCUCCCCCAAGAGUUCACAUCGACGGGGAGGUUUGGCACCUCGAUGUCGGCUCAUCGCAACCUGGGGCUGAAGUCGGUCCCAAGGGUUGGGCUGUUCGCCCAUUAAAGCGGUACGCGAGCUGGGUUCAGAACGUCGUGAGACAGUUCGGUCCAUAUCCGGUGCACGCGCAGGAACAUUGAGAGGAUUUCUCCCUAGUACGAGAGGACCGGGAGGAACGCACCUCUGGUGUGCCAGUUAUCGUGCCAACGGUAAACGCUGGGUAGCCAUGUGCGGAGUGGAUAACCGCUGAAAGCAACUAAGUGGGAAGCCCACCUCAAGAUGAGUGUUCCCAUGGCAUAAGCCAGUAAGGUCACGGGAAGAACACCCGUUGAUAGGCUCUACGUGGAAGCCGGGUAACCGGUGAAGCGGAGGAGUACUAAUAGACCGAGGGCUUGACC